RNAcentral lists this ribosomal RNA (711 nucleotides) under Klebsiella sp. RNAcentral describes it as "bacterial SSU rRNA". It matches the Rfam family "Bacterial small subunit ribosomal RNA", at positions 795 to 1506 of the family's 1533-position model. The record is from RNAcentral. Lineage: Bacteria; Pseudomonadati; Pseudomonadota; Gammaproteobacteria; Enterobacterales; Enterobacteriaceae.
GGGAGCGGGUUACGAUGUCGACUUGGAGGUUGUUCCCUUGAGGAGUGGCUUCCGGAGCUAACGCGUUAAGUCGACCGCCUGGGGAGUACGGCCGCAAGGUUAAAACUCAAAUGAAUUGACGGGGGCCCGCACAAGCGGUGGAGCAUGUGGUUUAAUUCGAUGCAACGCGAAGAACCUUACCUACUCUUGACAUCCACGGAACUUUUCAGAGAUGAAUUGGUGCCUUCGGGAACCGUGAGACAGGUGCUGCAUGGCUGUCGUCAGCUCGUGUUGUGAAAUGUUGGGUUAAGUCCCGCAACGAGCGCAACCCUUAUCCUUUGUUGCCAGCGGUUCGGCCGGGAACUCAAAGGAGACUGCCAGUGAUAAACUGGAGGAAGGUGGGGAUGACGUCAAGUCAUCAUGGCCCUUACGAGUAGGGCUACACACGUGCUACAAUGGCAUAUACAAAGAGAAGCGACCUCGCGAGAGCAAGCGGACCUCAUAAAGUAUGUCGUAGUCCGGAUUGGAGUCUGCAACUCGACUCCAUGAAGUCGGAAUCGCUAGUAAUCGUAGAUCAGAAUGCUACGGUGAAUACGUUCCCGGGCCUUGUACACACCGCCCGUCACACCAUGGGAGUGGGUUGCAAAAGAAGUAGGUAGCUUAACCUUCGGGAGGGCGCUUACCACUUUGUGAUUCAUGACUGGGGUGAAGUCGUAACAAGGUAACCAAUAG